This 250-nucleotide ribosomal RNA is filed under the name uncultured bacterium. Its description in RNAcentral is "partial 16S ribosomal RNA". It matches the Rfam family "Bacterial small subunit ribosomal RNA", at positions 524 to 773 of the family's 1533-position model. The record is from RNAcentral.
UACGUAGGGGGCAAGCGUUGUCCGGAAUUAUUGGGCGUAAAGCGCGCGCAGGCGGCUUCUUAAGUCAGGUGUGAAAGCCCACGGCUCAACCGUGGAGGGCCACUUGAAACUGGGAGGCUUGAGUGCAGGAGAGGAGAGCGGAAUUCCACGUGUAGCGGUGAAAUGCGUAGAGAUGUGGAGGAACACCUGUGGCGAAGGCGGCUCUCUGGCCUGUAACUGACGCUGAGGCGCGAAAGCGUGGGGAGCGAAC